RNAcentral lists this non-coding RNA (220 nucleotides) under Atribacterota. Its description in RNAcentral is "Candidatus Atribacteria T-box sequence". It matches the Rfam family "T-box leader". Rfam says of the family: Uncharged tRNA acts as the effector for transcription antitermination of genes in the T-box leader family. T-boxes are found upstream of many aminoacyl-tRNA synthetase genes and some amino acid biosynthetic genes usually in Gram-positive bacteria. Lineage: Bacteria; Pseudomonadati. The record is from RNAcentral.
AAUUAAAUAUUUAAGGGGAUAGUAGAUAACAGUCAUUCCCAGAGAACUGAUGGCUGGUGAAAAUCAGUAGGUGACUUUACCGAAUUCCACCCCUCAAUAAUUUUCUGGUGAAAUAGAGUAUCCAGAGACGCACUAUAGUGUGUUAAAAAAUAGCCAAUGAAGGAUAGGAUGUUCCUAUUAAAAUAGGGUGGCACCACGUGAGUAAGCUCUCGUCCCUGGU